ACACUCCUGCGGGAGGCAGCAGUGGGGAAUUUUGGACAAUGGGCGAAAGCCUGAUCCAGCCAUGCCGCGUGCAGGAUGAAGGCCUUCGGGUUGUAAACUGCUUUUGUACGGAACGAAACGGCCUUUUCUAAUAAAGAGGGCUAAUGACGGUACCGUAAGAAUAAGCACCGGCUAAUUACGUGCCAGCAGCCGCGGUAAUACGUAGGGUGCAAGCGUUAAUCGGAAUUACUGGGCGUAAAGCGUGCGCAGGCGGUUAUGUAAGACAGUUGUGAAAUCCCCGGGCUCAACCUGGGAACUGCAUCUGUGACUGCAUAGCUAGAGUACGGUAGAGGGGGAUGGAAUUCCGCGUGUAGCAGUGAAAUGCGUAGAUAUGCGGAGGAACACCGAUGGCGAAGGCAAUCCCCUGGACCUGUACUGACGCUCAUGCACGAAAGCGUGGGGAGCAAACAGGAUUAGAAACCCUUGUAGUCCCAUG
Molecule: ribosomal RNA, 475 nt
Filed under: uncultured organism
Description: partial 16S ribosomal RNA
Rfam family: Bacterial small subunit ribosomal RNA
Source: RNAcentral